CGUAGGGGGCCAGCGUUGUCCGGAAUCAUUGGGCGUAAAGCGCGCGUAGGCUGCCAGACAAGUCCGGUGUGAAAGUCACAGGCUCAACCUGUGAAUGCCGCUGGAAACUGUCUGGCUAGAGUCCGGAAGGGGCGAGUGGAAUUCCUGGUGUAGCGGUGAAAUGCGCAGAUAUCAGGAGGAACACCUAUGGCGAAGGCAGCUCGCUGGGACGGUACUGACGCUGAGGCGCGAAAGCGUGGGGAGCGAACAGG
This 251-nucleotide ribosomal RNA is filed under the name uncultured bacterium. RNAcentral describes it as "partial 16S ribosomal RNA". It matches the Rfam family "Bacterial small subunit ribosomal RNA", at positions 526 to 776 of the family's 1533-position model. The record is from RNAcentral.